GGGCGCCCCCUAAUGAUUGUUGCAUUAGAUAAAUCUAGAUCCAAAAUAAUCCAGAUCAAUUAGGCCUGCAUCACCAAUGAACUGCAAGGUCUUCUCGAGAAUUUCAAAUUCAAGAUAAAUCCAUCAUGCGAUGGCAGACAUGUAGCGGCAUCAUUCGCAUCUCAACAUUUCUUUUGAGAAGAAGCCCAUUAUUAAUUCCCCGAAUUCGCUUUCCACUGAUGUACUCCAAGCUUCAUAUUCCGCCACUUUUUUAAGAUAAUUGCUUGAUCUAGCAUA
RNAcentral lists this long non-coding RNA (276 nucleotides) under Elaeis guineensis (African oil palm). RNAcentral's name for it is "long non-coding RNA (EGUI_LNC017936)". The record is from RNAcentral. Lineage: Eukaryota; Viridiplantae; Streptophyta; Magnoliopsida; Arecales; Arecaceae.